UACGGGGGGGGCAAGCGUUGUUCGGAAUUACUGGGCGUAAAGGGCGCGUAGGCGGUUCGUCACGUCGGGAGUGAAAACUCGGGGCUUAACCCCGAGCCUGCUUCCGAUACGGGCAGACUAGAGGUAGGCAGGGGAGAGCGGAAUUCCUGGUGUAGCGGUGAAAUGCGCAGAUAUCAGGAGGAACACCGGUGGCGAAGGCGGAUCUCUGGGCCUUGCCUGACGCUGAGGCGCGAAAGCUAGGGGAGCGAACAGG
Molecule: ribosomal RNA, 253 nt
Filed under: uncultured bacterium
Lineage: Bacteria
Description: partial 16S ribosomal RNA
Rfam family: Bacterial small subunit ribosomal RNA
Source: RNAcentral